CAAAUAAUUGCAGUGAUUGAUGCAAGUUCCAAGAUAGAGACCCGUAAGUUUCUGCUGUUAUCUCGCUUGUCAGCCACAAACCAACAUUUGAGCUGGUAGAAACAUCUGGAGCGCAAGUUCCAUAAAGGAAGGUGGGGGCGGGGGGUAGGGGCACAUUGACCACUAUAUUUUAAUUGCAAGCCUAAUUAACACACCUCUAUGGUCGUUGAACGCAAGACGGGCAGAAGCUUUGAGAGCCCGAAACUAUGGAGUCACUGUUUGGGCUGACCAAAUCAACCAGUAAUCCCGAGGAAUCACUUCCACGUGAUCAGCACUCUUUCCUAUUUGCGCGAGUUCGAAUACGCACUCGACUGCAGCUUCUUCGCAGCCCAGCCACGCCACGCAAACGAAACUGCACUUUAAAUCCCUCCCCCCUCGAAAAAAACAGGACGCCCUGGUGCUUCGACUUUCUAAUGACGCGACUUUCAGAGCGCAAGAACCAACAUAACACCACGUACAACCUCAAUCUCCACUCGAUUCAUCCUAAUUUUCACGUAUUAUUCCCUCACAAACUCUUCCCCAAGAGAUGAAACGGCAGCACACGGCAGGUCCAGCACCAAUCCGCCAUACCUUUGAAUCCACAUCAUCCAGGCACGAGCAACAAGACAUUGUCACGGUGCUUCAUCACACGAUAGACUUAUUCUCCCAUCAACUUCAUGUGCAAUGAACGUAAUUUCAGCGCCGUAACUUUGGGUUUCGUAAGGUUGCGUCGACAACAACAAGGAAGGCGAAAUGCCAUGAAAGCUCC
This 787-nucleotide long non-coding RNA is filed under the name Physcomitrium patens. RNAcentral's name for it is "long non-coding RNA (PPAT_LNC005134)". Lineage: Eukaryota; Viridiplantae; Streptophyta; Bryopsida; Funariales; Funariaceae. The record is from RNAcentral.